AGCUACAUCCGUCACCUGACACGGCCCUACCAGGAACAGCCGCGCUCCCGCGGAUUCUGGUGCUGCUCGCGUCCCCGCUCCCCUAUUCCCCUUAUUUUAUUCCUGGCUCCCCUCGUCGAAAGUCUUCCAUUCUUCAAACUAGAUUAUUUAAAAAUGAAAAAGGAAGAAAGGAAAGCGAGGUCAUCUCAUUGCUCUAUCCGCCAAUCAGGAGGCUGAAUGUCAGUUUUGAACUAAAAGCCGCUCCGCUCCUCUUCUAGAUUUGGAAAACAAGCGAAAUUAAACUAAACCGCUGCACGCCUCUGACGCGACAUCUGGACACGGCGCGGCGCUGGCGCUGCCGGAGCUGUCGACCCGGCCUGGCGCCGGACUAGUGUCCCUUUUGAUGAGAAGAAUAAGCCUCAUUCUGAUUCAACAGCAGAGAUCAAAGAAAAGACUUCUGUUUUCUGGCCACCAGAUAUAUGUUAUCUGUGCUUAAAGAAUUGAAAAACACACAUCAAAGGAGAAUUUUCUUGGAAAGAGAGGGUUCAAGCAUCACUGUUAGGUGUGCUGGAAUCCUUUCCCGAGUCAGUACUGCUUUCUAGAAGAAAACCGGGGAGAUCUAUUUGGAAUGUAUCUAACUCCAAAGAAACCAUCAGAGGUAACAGUAGAGACGGGGUUUCACCAUGUUGGCCAGACUGGUCUUGAACUCUCGACCUCGUGAUUCGCCCGCCUCGGCCUCCCAAAGUGCUGGGAUUACAGGUGUGAGACACCACACCCGGCGGAUAGAGAGAAUUUUGACAGAUGUAGUGUCACUCUGUCGCCCAGGCUGGAGUGCAGUGGCGUGAUCUCGGCUCACUGCAACCUCUGCUACCCAGGUUCAAGCGAUUCUCCUGCCUCAGCCUCCCAAGGAGCUGGGAUUGCAGGCACCUGCCACCACGCCCAGCUAAUUUUUGUAGUUUUGGUAGAGAUGGUGUUUCACCAUUUUGGCCAGGCUGGUCUUAAACUCCUGACCUUGUGAUCCACCUGCCUUCGCCUCCCAAAGUGCUGGUAUUACAGGCAUGAGCCACUGUGCCCAGCCUAAAUGUUUUCUUUAAAAGCAAGGUAAGUAUGCCUAGAUGCACUGCCUCUUAGUAAUUUUUGAGGAUGGAUUAUUCAUUAAAUUGCUUCCCUUUCUCACAGCUGGUGAAUUAGAACGAUAGUGAGCUUACAAGAGCUUUAACGAGGAAAAGAUGGUCAUUGUUUAACAGAGAAGGAUGGUUUGGGUGAGCAUUUUUGUGUUUUUGGAGGGGAACUUUGAGGGCAAUGAGUGUUGCACCUGUGUCCACUGAGGAUCUCUGGGCGGGGUAAAAGGAAGGCAGGGAUGAGAGUGAGGAAGGGAGACAGGAGGGUCCCAAAUACGAACUUUGACUUAACGAGGAUGAUUACUAGAAGGGAAAGAUUGUGGAUUCAUUGAUGAGAUGUUGAACCAUGAAAACUCUAAUUGUAGAACUCACUUCAGACUGAAUUGACUUGGCUUUCAGUAGCAGAAGCCCUUUGUCUACUUCUCUAGUAUUGAAGUGAAUGCAAAUUUCUCAAUGUAAGAAAAGUAGAGUGGUGAAAUAAGAGUGUGGGUUCCAGGGUCAGACAACUGGGUGCAUAAAAAGGGUAAGGAUGCUACAACUGGUAAGCCCUGUGAGAAUUAUUUAAUCCUUCCAUGUCUCAUUCCGCUCAUCUGGAAAAUGAUGAUCAUACUAACUUAUGAGAUGUGUGUACAGACUAGAUAUAAUAUUAAAACAUUUCUGAUACCUAUGCAUUAUAUUGGAUCAAUAUAUAUUUGCAAUAAAUGAUCAACUUUUUAUUAA
Molecule: long non-coding RNA, 1820 nt
Filed under: Homo sapiens (human)
Lineage: Eukaryota; Metazoa; Chordata; Mammalia; Primates; Hominidae
Description: CDKN2B and CDKN2A antisense cis and trans regulatory RNA 1, transcript variant 24 (CDKN2B-AS1)
Rfam family: CDKN2B antisense RNA 1 convserved region 3 (bases 379-522)
Source: RNAcentral